This 243-nucleotide long non-coding RNA is filed under the name Mytilus galloprovincialis (Mediterranean mussel). The record is from RNAcentral. Lineage: Eukaryota; Metazoa; Mollusca; Bivalvia; Mytilida; Mytilidae.
GGUUGAUUUCUAAACGAAAUAUUGUGUUGCUAUACAAAAUGACACUUUAAAAUCAGUUUUUCAAUCACUUACAACCUGAAAAGAUUCUCUUUUUCUAAUUCACGUCACUCAGUACUAUGUACAUUUACUUGACUUACACAGAACACUUUAUCAAUCUUUGAUACCUGUAUCAGGCUACCUGCCGUUCCCACAGACAUUGGUAUUAGAAUGUUAGCAUUGAAAUUAAAAGAAUGGACAAAGAGG